Molecule: unclassified non-coding RNA, 608 nt
Filed under: Hevea brasiliensis (rubber tree)
Lineage: Eukaryota; Viridiplantae; Streptophyta; Magnoliopsida; Malpighiales; Euphorbiaceae
Source: RNAcentral
GGAGGGGCCAGUGGAAAGCUGCAAUUCAAUCACAGGAGUUCUUUAGGACUCUUCAGAGAUAUUACAGCAAUGCUUACAUGGAUGCAGAAAAACAAAAUGCUAUUAAUGUGUUUUUGGGUUACUUUCAACCGCUUGAGGGUAGACCUGAUAUAUGGGAAUUGGACUCCUAUCAGCAUUACUAUGUGGGUAGGAAUGGGGAAAGCUAUGUUGACGACAGUGGAAGGUCGCUCUUUCAAAGAUCAUUCUCGGAUGGGAACAUUCUUCAUGAAAGUCAAUUUCCCUUUUCAACUCGUAGUAUUGGGAAGGGGCUUUCUAAGUCGAACCUGUCUAACCAGUCAAAAGAAGGAAGCAAAGUGCUCUCCGAAUCAACACCAGAAAUGUCAACUUGUCAAAGUGAUUUGACAUAUUCAAGGUAUGCUCAAACAGUUCCUACAAGACAACUUUUUGUAGAAAUGCAAAGAGAUCGAUCCCUUGAACAACAAAAUGCAGAUACAUAUGACUGCUCCAACUUCCUUGACUUAGAUUGGUUGUCUUCUUCUGGGAAUUCCUGUGAGGAAGAGUUUUUGGACAGGUCUUUGUUUACAAACUCCCCAAUAGGUGGACUAUCA